ACGCUGAAAGAUAUCUUUAAGAACUCUUUCUUAAGACGUCUUUUAGAACUGCGAAUAAGAUCUCUUAUAGACGUCAAUUUGAAGAAAUCUUUUUUCUGUCAUCAGAAAGACUUCUUAAUUCAGACUACAAUUUGUUAUCUCAUUUAUGACAAGUUUUAGAUUGACUCAUGACUUUCACUGAAUUUACUGCUCCUACGCAUGCGCGUCAUAUAAUAGUAAAACGCUUUAGUGCAAUCUAACCUAUAAUUAAAAUUUAAUUACAAGUAAAGUGUGUUUUUGUACAAAAAAUGUCCAAAAGGAAAUCAUUCAAGAACUUAUCUAAGAGUCAAAAAAAUAGAAGAAUAAAAAAAGAAUAUGACUCUUUAUUGGAGAUGCCUGGUAGUUCAAGUUGUGAGACUGAAAAAAUAACUGUGAAGGAAGUGAUAAAAUCAAAAACUGAUGGAGAAUAUGCGGAUAAUGUGAAAUUAUUAAAUAAUUUACAAGCAGUUAUCACAAGUGAAAGUGAUGAUUGUAAUAAUGAUGUAGUCAGCUCAGUGGAAUCAGAUGUUAAUGAAGAAACUUCAACAGAAAAUAAUACUUCAACAGAUAAUGAUGAAUUGUAUGAUAUUCCACAAAGUAAGAAAACAAUUGACUUGAAAGAACAGAUGGCACGAUGGAUUUGCCAUUAUAAUGUAACUCAUACAGCAGCAGGAGCUCUAUUAAAGAUUCUUCGUAAUAAUGUCCAAUCAGUUCAGCAGUUAAAAGAACUUCCGCAAGAUCCACGAACUUUGCUCAAUACACCUAGAAGUACUGUGAUUCGUUCCGUUGUACCUGGAGAAUAUUUCCAUUACGGUUUACAAAGAGGAUUAAUUGAUCAAUUAAAAUUAGUUGGUGUCAGUGAAAUGUUUGAAAAUAUCCACAUAAACGUACAUAUUGAUGGAUUACCAAUAUCAAAAAGUUCUAAAAGUCAGUUAUAUCCUAUACUGGCUGAAAUAUUCCCUAAAGUUGCUCAACCGUUUGUCGUUGGAAUAUAUCAUGGAUAUAACAAACCUGAUAGAUGUGACGUAUUUCUUCAAGAAUUCAUCGAAAAAUACAAUACUUUACGAAGACAAGGCUUCGAAUAUUAUAAUAGAACGUUUCAAGUCAUAAUUAGAGCUAUUAUUUGUGAUUCUCCGGCUCGAGCGUUUGUAGCAUGUACAAAAGGACAUAAUGGUUUUUUUGGAUGUGGUAAAUGUAUGCAAGAGGGCGAAUAUGAAGAUUGUCGAAUGUUAUUUCUAGAGAUGGAUGCACCAUUACGCACAGAUGAUACACAACCAUUACACAACCAUUGAUUACACAACCAUUUUAUAGAAUAACACUCAUAUACGCUUGUAUGCAGUUUAGUGCGUUAUAAAUCAAUUAAUUAAGAUGUAUUUUGUUGUAUUUUGCCAUGAUUGGUGUGCGACUGUGCCAGCAUGUUGGUUAAAUCUUAAAAUACAUAAAGUACAAUGGCCCCCGAAAACUAGUAAUCCAACGAUGGAAUCUAAAAAAGCGACUAAUCCAAAAGAUAAUUGGGCAGUCAUCAAAUACACAAGAGUGUUAGGACCGUAUAGUAAUUACGAAACUGCCAGAGCAGUAGAAAUUGCUGCUGUUGAUUUAUCGACUAACGAUGAUGAAGAGCCAUUACAAAACAUUACUAAUCAAAGUGAUCAACUUCCGCAGAAACGCCUUCGAAAAAAACCGGCACAUUUAAUUUCAUCUGAUGAAGAAGAUGCUGAUAAUGAAUCGGAGACCAUUACAACUAAAAUUAAAAAAAAUGUUCCCAAACCUACAUUUGCAUAUAAUGUUGAUCACAAAGAACAAAAAAAUUUGGUGGAAUCUAAAGCAAAAGGUCCAACAAAUGCCUCUAAAUGUCAGAAAGUAAAGAAUAUUGAAGAUGAAAAUAUAUAUUUGGAGCCUGACAAUAACAAUAACCAUAAGGAUGAUGAAUUACUCGAAGACACAGAACUCUUGGAUUACGGAAAUUAUUUUGCAGACCCAGUACAAUCUGAAAAAGCUAUUGAUUUAAAAAAAGUCAAACCUGUUAAUAAAUGUGACAAAAAUCUCAAUUCUGAUUCAGUUUAUUUCCAACCACGCAAGGAUGUUAAAAUUAUUCAUAGUAUUAAAACCAAUAUACCAAUACGUGUAGUAAGCCAAGAAAAGCCUGAGUCUUCUCAUGUUUCUUCAGUUGUAAAGCAAAAAACUACUGCUGCUACUGUUAAGGAUCCAUCCUCCACGAAGUGUCAUACACAUUGUUGUUCUGCAUGUCGUCUCAAUAUUGAAAGAAUAUUGCAUAAACUUGAAGCUUUAAGUAUGUUUCUUAUGGACUCUAAUCACAUUAAUGAAAAUCCGCAAAAUGCUAAUGCCCUACCACAAUUUCCUAUACAAAAUAUAGAAAGUUUAAAGGCAUUUAAUAAAUUAUUAGAUGACGAUGCAGGAGCACGUAAUCAAUAUAAAAAGAUGAUUCAGAUCAGAGGUGGCAGAGAUGUUAAGAAACAUAUCCGUCAAAUACUAAUCACCAUAUUAAACGACGAUUUGGCAUGCAAACUAUCGUGGACAGGUCAAAAAAAACGAUCGGAGUCAAAGACAUGAAAUUUGUUGAUGUUUUUGUAGGAAGUACAAAAGGAAGUGGUGCGAAAGUUUCUUUUACUUGACUGAAGCCAUGAUCGCUUCGGAGGCUUGCACCAUUCAUGAGGUCCAGACAAUAAUACAAAGCUGGCUUCAGCAUGCCGGUGAUCGCGUUCGAUACCAUGAAAAAAAACACAA
RNA transcript from Camponotus floridanus (Florida carpenter ant), 2763 nucleotides. RefSeq lists it as uncharacterized. The record is from RefSeq and is a predicted model, not a curated record. The transcript is spliced from 12 exons. Lineage: Eukaryota; Metazoa; Arthropoda; Insecta; Hymenoptera; Formicidae.